ACGCCGCGUGAGUGAAGAAGGUCUUCGGAUCGUAAAGCUCUGUUGUAUGGGACGAUAAUGACGGUACCAUACAAGGAAGCCACGGCUAACUACGUGCCAGCAGCCGCGGUAAUACGUAGGUGGCAAGCGUUGUCCGGAAUUACUGGGUGUAAAGGAUGCGUAGGCGGAUAUGUAAGUCAGAUGUGAAACCCCCGGGCUUAACCCGGGGCAUGCAUUUGAGACUGCAUAUCUAGAGUGCAGGAGAGGAAAGCGGAAUUCCUAGUGUAGCGGUGAAAUGCGUAGAUAUUAGGAAGAACACCAGUGGCGAAGGCGGCUUUCUGGACUGUAACUGACGCUGAUGCAUG
RNAcentral lists this ribosomal RNA (344 nucleotides) under uncultured Clostridium sp. RNAcentral's name for it is "bacterial SSU rRNA". It matches the Rfam family "Bacterial small subunit ribosomal RNA", at positions 394 to 755 of the family's 1533-position model. The record is from RNAcentral. Lineage: Bacteria; Bacillati; Bacillota; Clostridia; Eubacteriales; Clostridiaceae.